This is a long non-coding RNA of Poecilia reticulata (guppy), 2558 nucleotides long. RefSeq lists it as uncharacterized. The record is from RefSeq and is a predicted model, not a curated record. NCBI's taxonomy places the organism in Eukaryota, Metazoa, Chordata, Actinopteri, Cyprinodontiformes, Poeciliidae.
GAUGGGCUCUAGAUAGAAACCGUGUUUAUAAGUGCAUGUAUAAACACGUGUCUCUGAGACAUGAGCCUCUUGCUAUCUGAGCCAAUCCGCACUCAUAAGACUUGUAUCCAUAAGAGCAAGUAAGCCUCCAUGUUUGAGGGAAAAUGAAUGCAAAAUUGUGUGAACAUGCAACAGAGAGGAUAGUGUGCUCCCUUCCUGCCAAGGUAAAAAUAGAGCCUCGUCUGGACUCCAAAGCCAACAGCCCCACAGCUCCGGCCAGCUAAAUAAACCCUGACUGAGCACAAUGGACCAUUAGUCUGGCACACACACACACGCACACUCUUUCUCUUUCUCCCUCACACACAAGGGGAUUGCUUGUGCUCUGUAUCAGAGAUAUAUUCCCAGUCUGAGCUCUCCAUGGUGUGUGCUGACCUCAUCUUUGCAAAAAAUGUGAGCGACCUGUGACUCACGUAUUCGCCGCAGCCGCCCAGACGGAAAAGGAAAACAUAUGGCUGCAGAUUCAGAAAUCACACUAUGUCAACAGGUUACACUGACAAAAAAAAAACAUGGGAGGCAGGAUAAGGAAGCGGGAAACUAUAAUUGAGGGGAAGUAAAAGUAAGAGGAGUAAUCCACAUUCAGUUAAACAGGGUAUGUAAAUGUUUAAUGUGUCCUAAUUAGCCUGAGAAUUAGCUCUGUUCUGCAAUUUAAUUACUUUUAUUAUGUGGGAUUGUAAAAUAAAUUUUUAAACAGCAGCUUACAAACCUUUUUGUUAACCAAUAAACUUAAUCAAUCCUAACAGAGUCGUCUGUACUGAGUGGAAAUGCAUCCAGAGAUAAGAGCUGACCGAUUUUCUCUUUACCACUUCUGAUCAGUAAUAGGGAAUUCAAAUCCUGAAAAAUCACAUUCUUUCCUGGAAACUGAAUGCAUCAAAACUCACACCAGAUCUCACACUGGCUGCAGACCAGAAAACUUUCAGCUCGUCUUGCUCUGACUAUUGAUGUACCUGUGGCAAACUAAAAAAAAAAUCAGGUAUGGAAAAAGAAACGCCAGUCUCAGAACCUUAAUUUCUCAAGUUUCUGGAGAUUUUAUGUUUUUAACUUAAUUAGAAAGAGGUAAACUGACAUGAAACCAAGUUCAUCAGAUAAAAGGAAGGUGGACCUUUCAACCUGUGUCUGUUAUGAAUCAUCCUGGUUUGCAAAUGUUAGCAGAGUUAUGGUAGGAGUUUACAAUCUCAAGGGAAAACAUCUGCAGUACUCCACAUGCAAAAGAUGGUAAAAUUUCAGCUGUAAAUUAUUCUAUCUUUGUUUUAAAAUUUCAGUAAAAGUCUGGCUUCCUGGAAUCGCUGUCUGAAUUAGAGUGACGACACUGCUGGUUAUGAUAUAGCUACUUCAUAACAGCUUACUGCUGCAGGGCUGGAAAACAAUAUUUUGAAUGCUUUUAUUUAUCAAGAGUUUGCUAGAAUUGAUAUCAGAAGGACAGACUUUAAAAAAAUCAAGAUUGGAAAUAGUUCAGAAAACUCACAUCAGUGCUUCUCCAUUCCAGUCAGUCCGCUCAAACAAAACGCACAAAGUAACCGAGUUUAAUCACAUUUUCCACAUCCAACUGCUACGCUUUCAUUUAUAGUGAAUCAUACAAAAAAGUAGCGUCUCUCAUGGGUCUCUCAUAGAGAUCUUGGAUAAGAAAUGAACCGGAGAGAAAAGACAAAAAGUGGGGCAAAAGGAGGGAUGAGAAGACAGAGAAAAGAAUGAAAAAAGCUGCCACUGAAAUAGACAAACAUGACUCACUUUAGUAGUUUUCUUUCCGAGACAGAAUGGAUGACUAAUAUUUGAGAAAGGAGGACGCAAAACAUAACAAACCUGGGGAAUUUGCCUGGAAAUGUCAAGAAAAAAAUCAAAGAACAAAAAUGUGAGUUUAAGUGACAAACAGAAUUAUUUUUUUUUGAAUUGAUGUAAUUAAAUGCUGACUUCCUGGAAUAAAAGGUAGAAUCUGGUUAAAAGUCUCCCUGCUGUCUGAAUUUACCCCAGAAAACUGACGAACCAGACGACACACAAACACACACCCAUGAAAUCAGUAUUUUCUGCGAGAGGGGCUGCCUGGGCGGGGCAGAAUCAUCCUCACCCGAUGUUCUGCUUCACUACUGAGGCUGACUUCAUGGUAAAGAUGAAAUCACCACUGAUACAAAGGAGGCUGGAAAGGAAGAAGUUCUCCACGUACACGCGUCAGCGGGGCGUGACGGGAAUCUUCAAGCAGAUACCGACCGGACGCGAGUCUCAUCAGGACCGCAGGUCAAGGCCGCUUUUCCAUGAUGGCCUGACUGCUGGGUCAGCUGAGAGAGAGGGAGAAUCAAAGCUCUGGUGGCAAGAGUUUAGAUUUAUGGCCCAAACCAUAAAUCUGACCGAAAUUCAAGCAGGGUCUGAAGCAGUGCAGAUCGGACCAAUCACACAUCCCAAGAAGAGUUGCACCUGUGGUUACAAAAAGUGACAAAAUGGAGCUGUAAGAUGUUAAACAAAAGCUAAAAACGAGAGACGUCACACUGCUUAAAUACAUGGUGGUCUACAAAUAAAAGCAGUAAAACCAA